Molecule: ribosomal RNA, 350 nt
Filed under: uncultured bacterium
Lineage: Bacteria
Description: bacterial SSU rRNA
Rfam family: Bacterial small subunit ribosomal RNA
Source: RNAcentral
AGAGUUUGAUCAUGGCUCAGGAUGAACGCUAGCUACAGGCUUAACACAUGCAAGUCGAGGGGCAGCAUGUUGGUUGCUUGCAACCAACGAUGGCGACCGGCGCACGGGUGAGUAACGCGUAUCCAACCUACCCUUGUCCAUCGGAUAACCCGUCGAAAGGCGGCCUAACACGAUAUGCGGUUCACGGCAGGCAUCUAAGGUGAACGAAAUGUGAAGGAGAAGGAUGGGGAUGCGUCUGAUUAGCUUGUUGGCGGGGUAACGGCCACCAAGGCUACGAUCAGUAGGGGUUCUGAGAGGAAGGUCCCCACAUUGGAACUGAGACACGGUCCGAAACCUACCUACGGAGGGCA